UGCUGCAGCCAUGUAGGUACCACAUAUAAAGGUUUGCUCUGUCUGCAGCAAGCCUCUGCACACUGAAGGGAGGAAACUGGAGUUAAAGACAACAAUGUGACCGGCAGCUGGACGUCUCCAUGAGCGCUUUAAGCAUUUUUGUAACAAUCAGGUGCAAAGAUCACACCAGCAGACAUUGUCAUGAAACAGCAGGAGAUAGACUGAAGCACUAUCUUCAGAUCAGGAAGGGGGCAGCACAUUCUGCUUCACAGCAAGAAGGUUUAAACCUGAAGGUGGGUGGAGCCUUUCUGUUCAAGGUUUUGUAAACUCCUCCUUGUUUUUUUCCUCCUGCUUGUUUCUUUCAACCCCCACAAGUUUUUGUGUUAUGUAUUUGCUUCGUUUGUCAUAAUCUUUAUCAGGUACAGUUUUUUUUAAAUAUCAUUUUAUGUUCUCUAUAAUGCAGCUUAGAAAUGCUGAAACAUUGUGAAACAUUCUGCCUUGGUUAAUAUAUAUGUAACAUUGUCCACCAUGCUCCUUAUUUCCUGCCGCAACUCCCCAAGCUUACAUCUGUAAGGUCUUACAUUACACACAUUAGAUCCUGACAUUCAUUGCCCUGAUUGGAUGGAUUCUGUUAAGUUGCCUCUGACAGAAUUAGGUCCCCAUCGGAAAUUGAGUGUGGUAAGACCAGUUAAGAUGGAGGUAAAGCAAGAACUGUGGCAUUAAUUCCUUUAGCUGUGCUGAUGCAAGCUCCUACUGGAUCCUGGACUGUGUAAAUCCAGCAGCCUCUGUUCUCAUUUGAACACUUUCAUUUAUCCACUUUUAAACACGUAGUCACAGAGUGGGUAAUAAACAGAUAUUCUGUGGAAGGUUAUCGUUUUUCAUGAGUCAAAGUAUAUGAAGUAAUAUAGGUAUCUAAUAAAUGCAGUAGGAAAUUAUAAGUUUUUUGUGUUUUGGCAACAUGAGCAACCACAGUAAGAGCUUUUGUGUUAUCUAUUUUGCUGAUUUUAAUGGGUACCUUCAGUCCAGAAAAGCUGAUAAUGAUGACCAUAAAUUAAAUCUUUGAACUUGGAUAAAACAGCUAGAACAAUUUUUGAAAUAAUAUUGAAAGGGAUUAGAACAGGGAUUUCUGGUCUCCUCCAGCAUCUCACUCCGUCUCAAAAAACAAAUCCACAACUGUGACGUUCCAUUCAUACGUUUCCCUGAUGUUGUGGGUUUUACUUGCUUUAGCUAUGUGUAGCACCACAUGUCAUGCUUCAGUUGCCUUGUCAUUUGCAGUGCUAGCACUACUGUCUGCUGUGACCUUAGUUCAUUUAGCCCUUUGUUAAAAACCCCCCCAAAAAACAAAAAAACCUCUUGGAAUUUUGCAAACACUGUAAGUGGAGCAUCUUCAGAACCAACCCAAGAAAAUACCAAUUUUAAAUAAUUAUGGUCAUACUUGUGCCAAAUUUUUAGUUACUUUGCUUGGCCCGGUCUCCUUACUCACUCUAACUUUAGAUACUAAGAACCAAUCAAUUUGAUAAAGUUUGCUAAAUUAUCAAAAUUACUUUUUUUGGUUUAUUUAUUUGUUUUUUUCAUUAUGUUGUGCCCCCCUGAAGCUCUCUGGUGACCCCCAGAGGGGGGCACGCCCCACACUUUGUAAAGCCCUGCUCUACAAUUUAUGAUUCUGCCCAACAAAUUGGUUCCCUCAUAUACUCCUGUUGUGGCAGACCUAUAAUUUUCACUCUAUAAAGYUGCAUAAAAAUAUUUUCUCUUGUGACUGUGGUGAAACCUAACCAUGGUUCUGUUUGGAGUACCUGCUGUUGGAGGAAAUACGCAAUUAGCUACCAGCUGCUGAACUAAGUUGGCUGCUGGAAGUUUAGUGGAACAUAGAACUGAAAGGGAAAGCAACACUAACAUUUCACAGGUUCCAUCUGCUACAAAUUCAUAUACCCUCGACAUGUUGGCAUAGCUGGUGCUCCAACAAGUUUGCAUUUCAAUGAAAGAGGCUGAUUGCUGAUACAGCAAGGUACUGGUGGUACCCAGGAACUUACAAUCUACCACUGUCCGAGAAAGGCAUGCAAAAGUGUGUUCUAUAUGCUGAAGAUGUUCGCUGUGAAAUGAUUCCCUUUGGUUCAACCACAAGGUGCUGUCACAUCAGACAUGAUCAGGAGUUAUUCACCAAUCACAUCUAGCAGGUUCCUUCUGAUGACUCAACUAUCAUGUCAGGGACGUCUGUUUUGACGAUGCUGUGCUGAGAGUUGAAGUAGACCAUGGACAGAGGCCGGCGCUCGGUGGGG
This is a long non-coding RNA of Poecilia reticulata (guppy), 2255 nucleotides long. RefSeq lists it as uncharacterized. Lineage: Eukaryota; Metazoa; Chordata; Actinopteri; Cyprinodontiformes; Poeciliidae. The record is from RefSeq and is a predicted model, not a curated record.